Pelobates cultripes (western spadefoot toad) is the source of this 206-nucleotide non-coding RNA. Lineage: Eukaryota; Metazoa; Chordata; Amphibia; Anura; Pelobatidae. The record is from the annotation of a GenBank genome assembly.
CUGGGACUUCCCUGCCCCUUACUGCUAACAGCUAUACGUGUGCUGGCAGGUAGGUAGGUUAGGUUUUUUUUUUUUUUAAAAGACAUAGAACAGGUUCAUGUGGUCUUAGGUCACGUCCUCGAGGACAUCAGUGGCCCUCAGAUUCAGCAGCUCGGUUAGGUACAUGCAAGUAGUACGAAGUAACUUUAACACUGAGUAAAACAUGC